RNAcentral lists this ribosomal RNA (474 nucleotides) under uncultured Glomus. RNAcentral's name for it is "SSU rRNA". It matches the Rfam family "Eukaryotic small subunit ribosomal RNA", at positions 569 to 1046 of the family's 1831-position model. The record is from RNAcentral. Lineage: Eukaryota; Fungi; Glomeromycota; Glomeromycetes; Glomerales; Glomeraceae.
AGCAGCCGCGGUAAUUCCAGCUCCAAUAGCGUAUAUUAAAGUUGUUGCAGUUAAAAAGCUCGUAGUUGAAUUUCGGGAUCAGUACGCUGGUCGUGCCUUUGGUAUGUACUGGUGUCACUGAUUCCUCCCUUCUGAAGAACCGUUAUGCCAUUUACUUGGUGUGGCGGGGAAUCAGGACUGUUACUUUGAAAAAAUUAGAGUGUUUAAAGCAGGCUCACGCUUGAAUACAUUAGCAUGGAAUAAUGAAAUAGGACGUUUGAUUCUAUUUUGUUGGUUUCUAGGAUCGACGUAAUGAUUAAUAGGGAUAGUUGGGGUCAUUAGUAUUCAAUUGUCAGAGGUGAAAUUCUUGGAUUUAUUGAAGACUAACUACUGCGAAAGCAUUUGCCAAGGAUGUUUUCAUUAAUCAAGAACGAAAGUUAGGGGAUCGAAGACGAUCAGAUACCGUCGUAGUCUUAACCAUAAACUAAUGCCGAC